Molecule: ribosomal RNA, 486 nt
Filed under: uncultured bacterium
Lineage: Bacteria
Description: bacterial SSU rRNA
Rfam family: Bacterial small subunit ribosomal RNA
Source: RNAcentral
GAUGAACGCUGGCGGCGUGCUUAACACAUGCAAGUCGAACGGACGGAUUGGAGCUUGCUCCAUGAAGUUAGUGGCGGACGGGUGAGUAACGCGUGGGUAACCUGCCCUAUGCAGGGGGAUAACAACAAGAAAUUGUUGCUAAUACCGCAUAAUAUAGAAGCUUCGCAUGAAGCAACUAUCAAAGAUUUAUCGGCAUAGGAUGGACCCGCGUUAGAUUAGCUAGUUGGUGAGAUAAAAGCUCACCAAGGCGACGAUCUAUAGCCGGCCUGAGAGGGUGAACGGCCACACUGGGACUGAGACACGGCCCAGACUCCUACGGGAGGCAGCAGUGGGGAAUAUUGCACAAUGGGCGCAAGCCUGAUGCAGCGACGCCGCGUGAAGGAUGAAGGUUUUCGGAUCGUAAACUUCUAUCAGCAGGGAGGAACCAAAUGACGGUACCUGACUAAGAAGCCCCGGCUAACUACGUGCCAGCCGCCGCCGUAACAC